This 107-nucleotide small nuclear RNA is filed under the name Salvator merianae (Argentine black and white tegu). The record is from RNAcentral. Lineage: Eukaryota; Metazoa; Chordata; Lepidosauria; Squamata; Teiidae.
AUGCUUGUUUCAGCAGCACAUAUCCUAAAAUUGGAUAAAUACAGAGAAGAUUAGCAUAGGCUCUGUACAAGGAUGAUAUGCAAACUUGUGAAGUGUUCCAUAUUUUU